UACGUAGGGGACAAGCGUUGUCCGGAUUUAUUGGGCGUAAAGCGCUCGCAGGUGGUUCGUCGCGUCGUGCGUGAAAGACCCCGGCUCAACUGGGGAGGGUCGUGCGAUACGGGCGGACUGGAGGCCAGUAGGGGGAUGCGGAAUUCCGGGUGUAGUGGUGGAAUGCGUAGAGAUCCGGAGGAACACCAGCGGCGAAGGCGGCAUCCUGGACUGGUCCUGACACUCAGGAGCGAAAGCGUGGGGAGCGAUCCGG
RNAcentral lists this ribosomal RNA (253 nucleotides) under uncultured bacterium. RNAcentral's name for it is "partial 16S ribosomal RNA". It matches the Rfam family "Bacterial small subunit ribosomal RNA", at positions 524 to 776 of the family's 1533-position model. The record is from RNAcentral.